This 212-nucleotide long non-coding RNA is filed under the name Bos taurus (domestic cattle). RNAcentral describes it as "long non-coding RNA NONBTAT022994". Lineage: Eukaryota; Metazoa; Chordata; Mammalia; Artiodactyla; Bovidae. The record is from RNAcentral.
GAGCCCUAAUUCAGCCUGGUACUGUGUUAAAUGCUGCUUGGGGGAUGUUGAGGCCAGCACACCUCUGGCUCAGGGGACCCAGAGCUUCACCACAGCUUCUGCAUGGGUUUUUCUGGGUGGCUCCUAGCUGCCCAGGAUAGGUGGGAUCAACUCCAGGCCCCCCACCCUAGCAUCCGAAGGAGCAGAGGAGGGUGGCCUCUGGGGUACCCCAG